UGUUGCCUCGGCGGAUCAGCCCGCUCCCGGUAAAACGGGACGGCCCGCCAGAGGACCCCUAA
This 62-nucleotide ribosomal RNA is filed under the name Fusarium oxysporum. RNAcentral's name for it is "partial 18S ribosomal RNA". Lineage: Eukaryota; Fungi; Ascomycota; Sordariomycetes; Hypocreales; Nectriaceae. The record is from RNAcentral.